Molecule: ribosomal RNA, 407 nt
Filed under: uncultured bacterium
Lineage: Bacteria
Description: partial 16S ribosomal RNA
Rfam family: Bacterial small subunit ribosomal RNA
Source: RNAcentral
AUUGAACGCUGGCGGCAGGCCUAACACAUGCAAGUCGAGCGGAGCGGCGGACGGGUGAGUAAUGCCUAGGAAUCUGCCUGGUAGUGGGGGAUAACGUCCGGAAACGGGCCCUAAUACCGCAUACUAUCAGAUGAGCCUAGGUUGGAUUAGCUAGAUGGUGGGGUAAAGGCUUACCAAGGCGACGAUCCGUAACUGGUCUGAGAGGAUGAUCGGUCACACUGGGACUGAGACACGGUCCAGACUCCUACGGGAGGCAGCAGUGGGGAAUAUUGGACAAUGGGCGAAAGCCUGAUCCAGCCAUGCCGCGUGUGUGAAGAAGGUCUUCGGAUUGUAAAGCACUUUAAGUUGGGAGGCGUUACCCGCAGAGGAAGCACCGGCUAACUCCGUGCCAGCAGCCGCGGUAAUUC